AGAGUUUGAUCCUGGCUCAGGACGAACGCUGGCGGCGUGCCUAAUACAUGCAAGUAGAACGCUGACUACUUUAGCUUGCUAGAGUAGAAGGAGUUGCGAACGGGUGAGUAACGCGUAGGUAACCUGCCUACUAGCGGGGGAUAACUAUUGGAAACGAUAGCUAAUACCGCAUAACAGUGUUUAACACAUGUUAGAUGCUUGAAAGAUGCAAAUGCAUCACUAGUAGAUGGACCUGCGUUGUAUUAGCUAGUUGGUGGGGUAACGGCCUACCAAGGCGACGAUACAUAGCCGACCUGAGAGGGUGAUCGGCCACACUGGGACUGAGACACGGCCCAGACUCCUACGGGAGGCAGCAGUAGGGAAUCUUCGGCAAUGGGGGCAACCCUGACCGAGCAACGCCGCGUGAGUGAAGAAGGUUUUCGGAUCGUAAAGCUCUGUUGUAAGAGAAGAACGUGUGUGAGAGUGGAAAGUUCACACAGUGACGGUAACUUACCAGAAAGGGACGGCUAACUACGUGCCAGCAGCCGCGGUAAUACGUAGGUCCCGAGCGUUGUCCGGAUUUAUUGGGCGUAAAGCGAGCGCAGGCGGUUUAAUAAGUCUGAAGUUAAAGGCAGUGGCUUAACCAUUGUUCGCUUUGGAAACUGUUAAACUUGAGUGCAGAAGGGGAGAGUGGAAUUCCAUGUGUAGCGGUGAAAUGCGUAGAUAUAUGGAGGAACACCGGUGGCGAAAGCGGCUCUCUGGUCUGUAACUGACGCUGAGGCUCGAAAGCGUGGGGAGCAAACAGGAUUAGAUACCCUGGUAGUCCACGCCGUAAACGAUGAGUGCUAGGUGUUAGGCCCUUUCGGGGGCUUAGUGCCGCAGCUAACGCAUUAAGCACUCCG
RNAcentral lists this ribosomal RNA (881 nucleotides) under uncultured bacterium. RNAcentral describes it as "bacterial SSU rRNA". It matches the Rfam family "Bacterial small subunit ribosomal RNA", at positions 8 to 871 of the family's 1533-position model. The record is from RNAcentral.